This 341-nucleotide unclassified non-coding RNA is filed under the name soil metagenome. RNAcentral describes it as "partial contains 5.8S ribosomal RNA, internal transcribed spacer 2, and large subunit ribosomal RNA". The stretch from base 1 to 120 matches the Rfam family "5.8S ribosomal RNA", at positions 35 to 154 of the family's 154-position model. The record is from RNAcentral.
GAUGAAGAACGCAUCGAAAUGCGAUAAGUAGUGUGAAUUGCAGAAUUCAGUGAAUCAUCGAAUCUUUGAACGCACAUUGCGCCCUUUGGUAUUCCAAAGGGCAUGCCUGUUCGAGCGUCAUUUGUACCCUCAAGCUUCGCUUGGUGUUGGGCGUCUUGUCUCUAGCUUUGCUGGAGACUCGCCUUAAAGUAAUUGGCAGCCGGCCUACUGGUUUCGGAGCGCAGCACAAGUCGCACUCUCUAUCAGCAAAGGUCUAGCAUCCAUUAAGCCUUUUUUUCAACUUUUGACCUCGGAUCAGGUAGGGAUACCCGCUGAACUUAAGCAUAUCAAUAAGCGGAGGA